RNAcentral lists this ribosomal RNA (477 nucleotides) under uncultured bacterium. RNAcentral's name for it is "bacterial SSU rRNA". It matches the Rfam family "Bacterial small subunit ribosomal RNA", at positions 8 to 502 of the family's 1533-position model. The record is from RNAcentral.
AGAGUUUGAUCCUGGCUCAGAUUGAACGCUGGCGGUAUGCUUAACACAUGCAAGUCGAACGGUAACAGGCAGAGCUUGCUCUGCGCUGACGAGUGGCGGACGGGUGCGUAACGCGUGGGAAUUUACCUUGUAGUGGGGGAUAGCCCGGAGAAAUCCGGAUUAAUACCGCAUAAUCUCUACGGAGCAAAGUGGGGGAUCUUCGGACCUCACGCUAUUAGAUGAGCCCGCGUUAGAUUAGCUUGUUGGUGAGGUAAUGGCUCACCAAGGCUAUGACAUCUAACUGGUUUGAGAGGAUGAUCAGUCACACUGGAACUGAGACACGGUCCAGACUCCUACGGGAGGCAGCAGUGGGGAAUAUUGCACAAUGGACGAAAGUCUGAUGCAGCAACGCCGCGUGGAGGAUGACACAUUUCGGUGCGUAAACUCCUUUUAUAUAGGAAGAUAAUGACGGUACUAUAUGAAUAAGCACCGCUAACU